GAGAUUGAGAUCAUCCUGGCUAACAUGGUGAAACCCCGUCUCUAUUUAAAAAAAAAAAAAAAUACAAAACAUUAGCCGGGCGUGGUGGCAGGCGCCUGUAGCCCCAGCUACUCGGGAGGCUGAGACGGGAGAAUGGUGUGAACCUGGGAGGCGGAGCCUGCAGUGAGCUGAGAUCGCGCCACUGCGAUCCAGCCUGGGCGACAGAGAGAGACUCUGUCUCAGAAAAAAAAAAGAAAAAGAAAAAGAAAAUCUCCCUGGAGUGUUUUCAGUAAAAUUCAAAUGGAUGUCAAGUCCCUUUGGGAUUCUACCAAAUACUGGUUUGAAAGGAAGAUUCAAAAUUAUAUAAGACGUUCUAGAUUCAAACUAAACUUAAAAUGAAUAUCUGCCGGGCGUGAUGGCUCAUGCCUGUAAUCCCACCACUUUGGGAGGCUGAGGAGACUGUAAAAUCAGGAAGUAUAUCUAAGUCACCUCCAAUAGCCGUAACUCUACCUUGUCCAGUAAAAGGAGAUAUUAAAAUACAGACCUUACUCAUUUUGAAGAUUAAAUUGUAAAGGAUCAUUUUGGAGUCAUACCGCCUUUAGAGGUAGUCAUGGAGACCUAGAUUUCAAACUGAAACUUCUGUUGAUUGGUUUCACUGUAAGAAGUUUUACUGUUAUCUAAGCCCUGAAAAUGAUUUCUGGAACCUGACUCAUUUAUCUCCACUCUCUAAAUGACACUAGGUUGAGUAAUCUAACUUUUUAAACAAGUUAAUAC
This 753-nucleotide long non-coding RNA is filed under the name Pan troglodytes (chimpanzee). RNAcentral's name for it is "lncRNA (ENSPTRG00000054263.1)". Lineage: Eukaryota; Metazoa; Chordata; Mammalia; Primates; Hominidae. The record is from RNAcentral.